Non-coding RNA from Paramuricea clavata, 156 nucleotides. Lineage: Eukaryota; Metazoa; Cnidaria; Anthozoa; Malacalcyonacea; Plexauridae. The record is from the annotation of a GenBank genome assembly.
GCUGUAGGGUUUGGCCCGUUUCAAGGUUUGCCAUUUAAUAUGAAAUUCAAUUCCUUUGCGCUUUAACUGCCAGACAUAUUUACUAAGUUCAGUGGAGUUCCUUUUCUCGUACAAAGUAAAUGAGGAUUGUGGUUGUAACGGGCCAAACCCUACAGC